UACGGGGGGAGCAAGCGUUGUUCGGAUUUACUGGGCGUAAAGGGCGCGUAGGCGGGCUUUUAAGUUAGGUGUUUAAUCCCGGGGCCCAACCCCGGACCGGCACCUAAAACCUGGGAGUCUUGAAUAGUGGAGAGGUCAGUGGAAUUGGGGGUGUAGCGGUGGAAUGCGUUAGGAGAUCCCCAAGAACACCAGUUGCGAAGGCGGCUGACUGGACACAUAUUGACGCUGAGGCUCGAAAGCACUGGGGAGCAAACAGG
This 257-nucleotide ribosomal RNA is filed under the name uncultured bacterium. RNAcentral's name for it is "partial 16S ribosomal RNA". It matches the Rfam family "Bacterial small subunit ribosomal RNA", at positions 524 to 776 of the family's 1533-position model. The record is from RNAcentral.